CCUUUCUCUACUCGCUUGUUCCUUUCUAGAUCUUGUACAUCUAACCUCAUCGGUUUAAACAAGAUCCAGUCACUUCUAACUGCUGUUCCGCUCUCUCAAGAGAUCAUACCUAAACGAUCAAGACAGGAUACAGUCUGGGAGACUAUGAAGUAGCGGAUUGACAUUUUCUCAUUUAACUUUCUACACUGGCCAAACAAUUUCCUGCAGGACCAGGUCUUCCAGCAAGCCAGGCCAGCUCCUCUCUGAACAAUGGCUCAGCCUAAGCUUUGGGAAUCCUGGCUGCCAUCUAGUCCAGCCUCUACCUAAGAAGAAACGCAGCCAUUCCCCAUCUGAAGAAAGAUCACCUAGCCUCUGUUGGAAGUCUUGAGAUCCCAGAUCCACUGACUCUUAGAGACCGUCCAGCCCAGCUCCCUCAUUUUACAAAUGAGGAAACUAAGACCGCAAAAGGAAAAUGCUUUAGCCAAGCGCGCACAGACAACAAGGGCGAGAAGUAGCCUCUAUUUCACCAGCCAGUACUCUUUCCACCAUGCUAAGGGGCCUUGAGGAAGCCAAUCCCACCUGGGUGUGCUGGCUAAAGAACGUUCUGCCCUCUGGGGCCAAGCAGAACAAGGCUGAGCCCACUUCCACAGAACACACAGCGAUCACACAGUCCCUGUAACUUCUCUAGGGCAAACCACCCUGGUUUCU
This 687-nucleotide long non-coding RNA is filed under the name Monodelphis domestica (gray short-tailed opossum). RNAcentral's name for it is "lncRNA (ENSMODG00000046541.1)". The record is from RNAcentral. Lineage: Eukaryota; Metazoa; Chordata; Mammalia; Didelphimorphia; Didelphidae.